AGAGUUUGAUCAUGGCUCAGAUUGAACGCUGGCGGCAUGCCUUACACAUGCAAGUCGAACGGUAACAGGGAGCUUGCUCCGCUGACGAGUGGCGAACGGGUGAGUAAUAUAUCGGAACGUGCCCUGGAGUGGGGGAUAACUAGUCGAAAGAUUAGCUAAUACCGCAUACGAUCUAAGGAUGAAAGUGGGGGGAUCGCAAGACCUCAUGCUCGUGGAGCGGCCGAUAUCUGAUUAGCUAGUUGGUAGGGUAAAAGCCUACCAAGGCAUCGAUCAGUAGCUGGUCUGAGAGGACGACCAGCCACACUGGGACUGAGACACGGCCCAGACUCCUACGGGAGGCAGCAGUGGGGAAUUUUGGACAAUGGGCGCAAGCCUGAUCCAGCAAUGCCGCGUGAGUGAAGAGGGCCUUCGGGUUGUAAAGCUCUUUUGUCAGGGAAGAAACGGAUUGACCUAAUACGUUGAUCUAAUGACGGUACCUGAAGAAUAAGCACCGGCUAACUACGUGCCAGCAGCCGCGGUAAUACGUAGGGUGCAAGCGUUAAUCGGAAUUACUGGGCGUAAAGCGUGCGCAGGCGGUUAUGUAAGACAGAUGUGAAAUGCCCGGGCUUAACCUGGGAACUGCAUUUGUGACUGCAUGGCUAGAGUGUGUCAGAGGGGGGUAGAAUUCCACGUGUAGCAGUGAAAUGCGUAGAUAUGUGGAGGAAUACCGAUGGCGAAGGCAGCCCCCUGGGAUAACACUGACGCUCAUGCACGAAAGCGUGGGGAGCAAACAGGAUUAGAUACCCUAGUAGUCC
Molecule: ribosomal RNA, 794 nt
Filed under: uncultured bacterium
Lineage: Bacteria
Description: bacterial SSU rRNA
Rfam family: Bacterial small subunit ribosomal RNA
Source: RNAcentral